CGGGGGGAACGCGAAGAACCUUACCUAAGCUUGACAUCCCACUGACCUCUCCCUAAUCGGAGAUUUCCCUUCGGGGACAGUGGUGACAGGUGGUGCAUGGUUGUCGUCAGCUCGUGUCGUGAGAUGUUGGGUUAAGUCCCGCAACGAGCGCAACCCUUGCCUUUAGUUGCCAGCAUUAAGUUGGGCACUCUAGAGGGACUGCCAGGGAUAACCUGGAGGAAGGUGGGGAUGACGUCAAAUCAUCAUGCCCCUUAUGCUUAGGGCUACACACGUGCUACAAUGGGUGGUACAGAGGGCAGCCAAGUCGUGAGGCGGAGCUAAUCCCUUAAAGCCAUUCUCAGUUCGGAUUGUAGGCUGAAACUCGCCUACAUGAAGCUGGAGUUACUAGUAAUCGCAGAUCAGAAUGCUGCGGUGAAUGCGUUCCCGGGUCUUGUACACACCGA
Molecule: ribosomal RNA, 443 nt
Filed under: uncultured bacterium
Lineage: Bacteria
Description: bacterial SSU rRNA
Rfam family: Bacterial small subunit ribosomal RNA
Source: RNAcentral